Molecule: ribosomal RNA, 320 nt
Filed under: uncultured bacterium
Lineage: Bacteria
Description: bacterial SSU rRNA
Rfam family: Bacterial small subunit ribosomal RNA
Source: RNAcentral
AUUGAACGCUGGCGGCGUGCUUAACACAUGCAAGUCGAUCGGUAACAGGUGUAGCAAUACAUGCUGACGAGAGGCGGACGGGUGAGUAAUGCUUGGGAAUCUGCCUAUUAGUGGGGGACGAACCCGGGAAACGUCGGGCGUAAUACCGCAUACGCUCUACGGAGGAAAGCCGGGACCGGCAAGCUGGCGCUAAUAGAUGAGCCCAACGCCGGAUUAGCUAGUUGGGUAGGGAACGGGCCUACCAAGGCGACAAUCCGUAGCUGGUCUGAGAGGACGACCAGCCACACCGGAACUGAGACACGGUCCGGACUCCUACGGGA